Molecule: long non-coding RNA, 2960 nt
Filed under: Paramuricea clavata
Lineage: Eukaryota; Metazoa; Cnidaria; Anthozoa; Malacalcyonacea; Plexauridae
Source: RNAcentral
UGCAUGUGGUCGCUAUUUUCCCAAGAUCUCGAAGGAAAGAAGAGCGAAAUUUGAACUCCUAGUACGAAAUGGUUGUGUCGUGCUAAAGUACAUGUAAGUGAAAGCCAUACAUAUUAGUUGUAGAGCUGUUUAAUUUAAUUCGCAUUUGUUAUUGCUUCAUUCAAUAAUCAGUAUUAAAAGCGUGCCUUGAUCUCAUGCAUACAAUUACUUAGCUGGCCAUAAGAAUUUCUGUUUGCUUUAUAUGCUUCAAUUCCUUGAUACUAUUGCCUACAUUUCCUACAAUACUGUUUUAAAGUACCAACAGUUUAAUUUGCAAUCUCAUAGUUGCCUUAUCUUCAACUGUUUUAGCUCACAAAAUUUGAUGAGAAAGUUGAUCUAAGUUGUAGAGCUGUCAAAGACACGCGCCGGUAAGCAUAUUGUCUUUAUAAAUGUUGUUUGUUGUGUGUCGCUCGGUUUUUAAGCUUCUCCUUCCAAUAAGAAGCUUUAAUUGAACUCGCGAAACUUACAAUGCUAAAUGAGAACGAAACAAAAGACAUUACAACAAAGGCGAGUUAGAUAUGGGAUCGGCGAACGGACUCGAAGUCCCAACAAGGCAACUACCCCGCACAUAAAUUAUAACUAGAAAUUUACACUAAUAAGAAAACACAAAACUUCAAUAAAUGUUCUCUAAUACCACUGAACAGACAGCCCAGUCUCUCGCUCAGGUUGACUGCACAUACCAACGGCCACUUGAAACAAAUAAUUGAUGGAAAAUAUUUCGGAAAAUAAUCUUAACCCAUGCGCUAUAGUACUAACCCUAAUUCUGGUUUUAAGAUAAGGAUGCAUAUUGUACAGUCAAUCUGAGGAAGAGACCGGGAUGGUACAGUGUAGCAUUCUCCUCAGUAACACACCUUCGCUGCUUAUUAACUAACAACAGGAAGGGCUGCCAAUAGACCUACAAGAAGGACAUAUUGUCUUCCACGUACUUAAUCUGUCCGUAUCAAAAACGUUCCGUAACUUUAUAAAAUAAUGUUUAUAUAAACGAGAUUUAAACGCACUAAUGGAAGAUGAUUUGCGAAUUUCAAGUGGUAGAUUAUUCCAAAGCUUUACAACAUGAUUGAAGGAGUCUAUAAAUAAUGAAGUACGGAGACGGUGUACUGGAUACAGAUUUAAACUAUCAGUAGAGCUCCUGGUGCGACCACUUGAGACAUGCCGUAAUCUUCAAGCUGUACAUUAAAUGAACCGCUCAUAUACUUGUAAACACAGCAUAAGUCACGACACUCCAACCAGUAGGAAAUAGGAAGCAGCUGGUUGAGAGUAAUCAAGCGGGACUUGUAGUUGGGUCGGACAUGAUGAUCGUUGCUGCAGUUGAGGUGAAACGCGUAGCUCGCCUCUGCACAGUCUCCAAUAGUUUUAAGUCCGUUCUGCAUGACUGAGGAGCCCAGAUUUCGCUAGCAGAACUGAGGUGGGAGCGCACCAGUGAUUAGUACAUCGACCUUCUGUGGGCAGGCCCAGUUAAGGAAACGCCGAAGUGUCGUCGUAGGAAGCCAAGUGUCUAGUUUGCUUUGGCAACAACAGAAGAAAUUUGGAGGUCCCGCGUUAGCUUGUUGUUAACUAAGACCCCCAAGUCUUUUGAUGAGGGAACGACAGCGAGUGGCUGGUCAUUGAUGGUGUAGGGAUUGACGGUAGGGGAUUCCAGCAUACUACUUCGCUUUCUAGAUAUUCUUAAUACUUCGCAUUUGUUCUUGUUAAAAUAAAGUCCCCAAUCUUGAGACCAUAUGGAACGAUAACACUUUGUGGAAUUGUUGAAGUUCACAGGGCAUUUUGAGUUAGUUUUAGUGAUUUAAUCGAGUUUCCAACGGAAUUUUCCCACCGAAAGGCGAAUACGAGCGAGAAUCCACAUCAUACACAUCUUUUAAAAGGCUCAAUUAAGUUUAAGACGUUUUAAUUAACUAAAUGAUUGUGCUGGAGUCAGCAAUUAAGACCGAGCAUUCAAGAUUUACUGAUUAACGAGCAUUUUGUCUUUUUAGUUUACUGUUGAUUUUGAAAUGAAAAGUUGAUACGAAUUAUAUGAAGCCCUUUUAAAUGCUUUGAGUUUGUCAAACUUGAGUUGUACAGUAGUACUAAGUAUAAGAUUACAUUUGUACUGUUCCUAUAAUUAGACAUCUCUGAGUUAAUUGCAUUUUGGAUGCAACAAACGCUCGUGAGUUCGUCAAAUCGAUUGAAUUUUAUACACAUUAAUAAAGGAGCUGGGCGGAUAGGGACAAAGCCUAUAAUACGGACAAAUAUCAGUCAAGUCAGACCCUCUAAUCACUAACCGAAGUUUCUUAUAGACGUUUUGGAUAUCGUUGUGCAGUUUUGUCAGCUUCCUGACAAUGACAAUGACACUUACAGUUCCUUUCCUAUAUUUUACAGAUUAUUCAAAAUGCUUCGGUUACAAUUAAGAUGACCAUUCAUAUAUUACAUCUGACGGCGAGAUAUUCAGAACAACAAACCAAAAAAGCUGAUCAAUGAAGCAUGCAGUUACUAGGUUCAGAAGAUAGAAAUGGACAUCUGCUUAGGAAAAAAACAAUUGGAGUAAUUGUAUGACAGCAUUGACGUGGAAACCAUAAGAUACUCAGAACAACAGAAGAAGGGAGAUCAAUGAACGAGUAUAAGAUCAGAGCAUGGAUGUGGACAUACGUUUAGAAUGGAAAAUGACAAUAAUUGUGUAACACCAAUGACGUGAAAACGAGAAGGGCGAAGGAACGUGCAACGUCAAAGAACUACACGGAAAAAAACUGUAGAGAAAGAAAAUGGUUGGAGAUCUUGAAACAAAGCCAAACGUGUAGCCAGAUCGAACAGCGGGAGCUGUAGAAAUGUACCGCAGCGUAAUGGACAACGCAGCCGAAGAAGAUAGGUAAGACGUCCUAAUUAAGUCCAGUUUCUUAGUAAUAAUACUUGCAUGGCGUAUAAAGAAGGUUAUCCAAUUUGUAGUGCUU